GCAGUCGACGAAGUAGCAAUACUUAGUGGCAGACGGGUGAGUAACAUGUGGGUAUCUACCCUUUGGCCUGGAAUAACACGAGGAAACUUGUGCUAAUACCGGAUAAGUCUUUACGGAGAAAGCUUUAUGCACCAUUGGAUGAGCCCGCACUUGAUUAGUUUGUUGGUAGGGUAAUGGCCUACCAAGACUAUGAUCAAUAGCUGAUUUGAGAGGAUGAUCAGCCACAUUGGGACUGAGACACGGCCCAAACUCCUACGGGAGGCAGCAGUGGGGAAUCUUGCACAAUGGAGGAAACUCUGAUGCAGCGAUGCCGCGUGAGUGAAGAAGGCCUUUGGGUUGUAAAGCUCUUUCGUCGGGGAAGAAAAUGACUGUACCCGAAUAAGAAGGUCCGGCUAACUUCGUGCCAGCAGCCGCGGUAAUACGAAGGGACCUAGCGUAGUUCGGAAUUACUGGGCUUAAAGAGUUCGUAGGUGGUUGAAAAAGUUGGUGGUGAAAUCCCAGAGCUUAACUCUGGAACUGCCAUCAAAACUUUUCAGCUAGAGUAUGAUAGAGGAAAGCAGAAUUUC
RNAcentral lists this ribosomal RNA (566 nucleotides) under uncultured bacterium. RNAcentral's name for it is "bacterial SSU rRNA". It matches the Rfam family "Bacterial small subunit ribosomal RNA", at positions 57 to 670 of the family's 1533-position model. The record is from RNAcentral.